RNAcentral lists this ribosomal RNA (497 nucleotides) under uncultured bacterium. Its description in RNAcentral is "partial 16S ribosomal RNA". It matches the Rfam family "Bacterial small subunit ribosomal RNA", at positions 28 to 507 of the family's 1533-position model. The record is from RNAcentral.
GACGAACGCUGGCGGCGUGCCUAAUACAUGCAAGUAGAACGCUGAAGAGAGGAGCUUGCUCUUCUUGGAUGAGUUGCGAACGGGUGAGUAACGCGUAGGUAACCUGCCUGGUAGCGGGGGAUAACUAUUGGAAACGAUAGCUAAUACCGCAUAACAACAGUUGUUGCAUGACAGCUGUUUAAAAGAUGCAAUUGCAUCACUACCAGAUGGACCUGCGUUGUAUUAGCUAGUUGGUGAGGUAACGGCUCACCAAGGCGACGAUACAUAGCCGACCUGAGAGGGUGAUCGGCCACACUGGGACUGAGACACGGCCCAGACGCCUACGGGAGGCAGCAGUAGGGAAUCUUCGGCAAGGGGGGGAACCCUGACCGAGCAACGCCGCGUGAGUGAAGAAGGUUUUCGGAUCGUAAAGCUCGGUUGUAAGAGAAGAACGGGUGUGAGAGUGGAAAGUUCACACUGUGACGGUAUCUUACCAGAAAGAGACGGCUAACUACGUG